CCUAGACACCCACCUGGUUUCCUUCGGGCCCUGGCGUAAUGCAGCAGAGCAGCAGCAGCAGCAAGGACGAGGAUGCUGAGCACCAGCCCCGUGAUUCCCGCAGCGGAGACCUUAGUGGCUGACAGAGAACCUAAACCCUGGCUUGCAACUCGAGGCUGUGUGAAAGGAAUCGGAACUUACUUCUCACGGUGACUCGAAUCCACGUGCUGAGGAUGGGGCUGUGAACGUUAUCAGCUGCACAGUAGUAUCUCCCUGCAUCACUCUCCUUCACGGUGAGAACAUGCAGCUCUGCCAACAGGGAACGCUGGGUCUUUCUACCCAGGCUUCUUACUCUUCCUUCUUUGUGCCAGGAGAAUGUGACAGUCCCUGAACCCUGGGCUACUGAGCAAAUAAGGACCAUAUUUUCUCCUUCAAUCAGCUGCCCUCCGGUGGGCCGGAUCUCUAGAUUCACAUUAGACACAGGGACUCCUGGGGGAACACAAGAUGGCAUGUGAAGGUCCUGAUGGCAGGGACAUCAAGGUCAAGGGGAAGGCUGGAGCUACCAUGAAUAGGCCAAUAGCAGCAGGUGCAGCAGGCAGAAGCCCAAAGUAGGAAAUAAG
This 599-nucleotide long non-coding RNA is filed under the name Homo sapiens (human). Its description in RNAcentral is "HSALNT0016001". Lineage: Eukaryota; Metazoa; Chordata; Mammalia; Primates; Hominidae. The record is from RNAcentral.